UACGUAGGUCCCGAACGUUGCGCGAAUUUACUGGGCGUAAAGGGUCCGUAGGCGGUUUAGUAAGUGGUUGGUGAAAUUUCACGGCUCAACCGUGAAACUGCCUUUCAAACUGCUAAACUUGAGGCCGGGAGAGGACGGCGGAAUUGCCAGUGUAGGGGUGAAAUGCGUAGAUAUUGGGAGGAACGCCAGUGGCGAAGGCGGCCGACUGGAACUGUCCUGACGCUGAGGGACGAAAGCUAGGGGAGCAAACCGG
Molecule: ribosomal RNA, 253 nt
Filed under: uncultured bacterium
Lineage: Bacteria
Description: partial 16S ribosomal RNA
Rfam family: Bacterial small subunit ribosomal RNA
Source: RNAcentral